Durio zibethinus is the source of this 2762-nucleotide non-coding RNA. The record is from RefSeq and is a predicted model, not a curated record. Lineage: Eukaryota; Viridiplantae; Streptophyta; Magnoliopsida; Malvales; Malvaceae.
UUGACUGGCCUAAGAAACGACAAUAUUCCAGGUUUGGUUGGCCGUAAACCCCUUAAUUUUUAUGAACAGUGAACACUACCUAAAACCCCGCAGUCACUCAGCCCAGGUCAGGCAGGGCAGAGCAUCCAUAAACGCAGAGCGAACAAGAAGAAGAAGAAGAAGCAAAAGCAAAUGGUGAACAAAGCAUGGAAGGUCAUUCCAAGACCUUUACUGGAAACGAUCCUCAACAACCACGCCCAACACCACCGUGUCCCUCAACCCCUCAUUCUCCACGGCCCCCGUGGCGUCGGCAAAACCACUCUCAUCCUCGACCGUCUUAUUGGUGAAUGGAACAAAGGCCCCCACUUAACCGGCUAUGUAGACUUCGCUCAAUCAAUCAAAGACCACCAUCCCAAUUUCGACGGCUCCUUUCCUUGGUCCUCUUGGUCCACCUGUGACCGACCUUCUUUAGCCAACUGCCGAACCCAACUCGAAAACUGCCUGGAAUCAAUGGCUUAUAAAGGUGUCAAGCUUGGAACCAUUAGCUCCCACCAAAUCUUCUCCACUCUCAACAAAUGGCACGGGCUAAACACUGCACUGCGCCAGAUAUUAAACCAAAACGCUUCUAAAACUGCUAUUUCUACUAAGGUUUCAAGCUCGGGUUUAUGGGAUCGAGCGGUUUUUGCAUUAUCUGCUCGAUUAAAUGCCGAAGAGAUUGAUGAGGUUUUGGAGUUUGAAGAGAAAGGGAAGAGUUUGUCUAUAGAAGAGACUUCUUACUUUAGGGAAGCUAUUGUGGCGUUGAGAUUGGCGAAGGAGGUGAUUACGGUGCACCAAAAGUGGAGAGCUAAUGCCAUUGCUGAUUUGAAUAGGAGUGGACGGUUUUCAAGGUCGCUAGCUCAUUCAUGUACGGAUUGGCCUUGUUUGUUGCUUGAGUUGCUCUCUCAAGCUGCUGAGAUUGACCAGUUUCAGCCAAAGUUGGUCAUAAAUAAUAUUGAAAUUCUUCGGAAUGCGAUAUUAACGGAUGACUCGACAGUGUGUGGAUCAAUGUAUCAUGACAGUUUGAUAUGGAGAAUAAUUGCUUUAGGAGCAAAUGAGCGAUGCCUCCCUGUUGUACUUGUGACAUCAGAUAGCUACUAUUCAUAUCGAGCUUUCAUGGAUUUUGGGUUUCCAGAUAUAUUCAUCUCUCGUGAGACCUUUGGUUGGACUCCACAAGAAGCUAAACUACACAUGGUUACCGAUUACUUCACUCAUGCGGAGUGGAUGGUGAUAGAUGAUGUGCUUGGGCCAAACCCUCGACAUCUAUUUGAGCUUUAUGUGCUCAAACAAACCAACUAUUACCAGAAGUUGAUGGAAAACGAGGCAACUAUAUUUGAAGACAUCAUGGAUGCAUAUUUAGCAUAUUUGCAGGUUACUGUAGUGAAUCCGUCAAUGAAUAAAGCACUGAUGCUCCUACAAAAGUUUGCCAUUGACGCACAAAGUGGAAAGAUUUUAGAAGAUAGAUUACGUUUUGGUGCUCCUUGGAGACAUCCUCCAUCAUCCAUGGACCCUACGACAUGCAUGGAAUGGGCAAAGAUUCAACUAAUGGAUUUUGUUCAAUCUCUAGUUAACGCAGAAUUUGGUGUUAAUUAUCUAGCUGACUGUAGCCUAGAGAUCUUGGAUGAUCCAGCUGCCGUUGCAUUAGUGGAGGUUGGCUUGCUUUAUGCUCAAAGGGAUCCUUCUUUCCUUCGCCCCAUCUCUAAAGGUGUUCAGAGGUGUCUUGCAAGAUGGCUUGUCCAGGAGCGGAUGCAGUUGAGUUACCAGAACUUGCUUCAGUAUCUGUGGCAGCGCAUUAUACGUGGUCGUAGCUACCGUCAUUUGAUGCUUCAAGUGGGCUAUGAUAAAUAGAAAAUAGGAGAGGACAUGGAGCACAUCAAACUAGAGAUUCUCCUGGCAUAGAUGUCGUUCUAAGAUUCACUUAAAGUGUAGGUUGCUGUCAGAUGUGCCUGCUUUUUUUUGAGAUUGGGAACUAAGAACUUGACUAAACUAUUUUGUGGAUGCAUUGCUAUCAGAGACGACUUUUGAUACUAACAAGCUGACGUUUAUUGAAAAUGGUAGCUUGGGAUGAUCAUCUGUGUUACUGAGGUAUAUAUUUAUCCUGAACCAUUUUUCAGAAAACUUGUGCCGUGAGCAUUCAAUAAUCAUUUAUAUGUGUUCCUAUUUCAUUUAACAGUCCAUUAAGUAGGAUACAUUCAUUUUAGGGUGGUUUCUUAUGUUACAUGAUGAUAGCAGAUAGAAAAAAAAGGGUUUGUGGGUGGCGAUAAUGAUAUGCUGCCUCGUGAGUAAUAGGUAGAAGGAAGUUAUUUUCUUAUUUGUAGUUUAUUCUUUUCUAUGCUUCAAUAAAAAAGAAGUUGAUCUCUUCUGAGCCAUCAUCCAUGGAAUUUAUUCAGGCUGAGAGAUCGAACUUUAUCGUUUGCAAAUGCAAUUUUGCAUUGGUGAAAAUAUUAGGGGAAAAGGAAAAGCACUUGGCAUGGACCCUGAAAGAUCUAAAGUUGAAACGACUCAUGUUACUACUGAUCAUUGCAUGUUACUGCUAAUCAUUUAUUUUUCUUUUUCAACCAAAAGCAAGAAUUAGAAGUCGAUCGCCAUAACAUUAGGGAAAAAAAAAACCAAAGGUAAAAUCAAUCCAAUGCUACUCCUAUAACUUAGACCAAUUAUCUGUUGGGUGGGGAUAAGCCCAGUUUUCCAUCAUUAAUUAGCUGUUGCAAUACCUAACUCAUAAUCGCCGGAUUUCACGGCUUUUUGAC